CCUUUUAGAGAAUUUACUAUUUGUGCCCUUAAUCAUACACUUCAUAUUUAUCAUUUUCCGGCUGUAGAUCUUACCUAUUGAAAAAUCCUAAUGGUAUCCUCUUGUAAGGAUCAAAAUUCACAUGGUCAAUUACUAUUCUAAAAGUUGCAUAGCCCCCUUAGGUUAAACAUGUUAUAAACUUCUAGGGAGUUAAACUGUUGAAAUUGGAGCAAAGAGAGAGUUUUAAGCAACUGCAAUGACAAUGAAGAUUCUGGCAUGGACCUUCUAAUUUCGCGUCCAUUCUCAUUGGUCAAGCCUCUUGAGUAAUUCAAGCUAUCUUGGAUUUCGCCCAGUUUGUUGCAUCAACUAAUGGAUAGUUGAGUAUGCAAAGUUAGGGACAGGAAGGACCUAUAAUUUCGAUGGUGUCUUGACUUUACAGUUUGGUACCCUCAUGGAAUCCUUUGGGAAAGAAAAAGAUACAGAGUACUUUUGGUGUUUUUCUUUUGGAGAUGGAAAGUUUUGUUAUUGGCAUUCACAAAUGGGGUAAAAUUGCAGAUCUCUAGAUGAUAUUGGGCAUGCUAGUUUUGGUAAGGCCAGUGAUGCAGGUGGCUACUAUGAGAUAAAACUUCAAGUUGCUGCAAGUUAAAAAUGCAAUAGGGGGAGGGGAAGGUUGAAUAUAAAAUAGGUGGAAUUCAUAAGAUAGAUCAAAAUAUCACAUAUUAAAUGGUGACUUGUCUUACUAUUAGGCAAAAUGGCUGGAUAGGAUCCUUGUAAUUAAACCAAGGUUGUGAUUCAAAUGGUACUUCUAGGGGAACAAAUUUACGAUUUGAUCUUAGAGAAUUGACAGUUAGAAAUGUUCAAGCAAACUAACAAAUUCAAAUGUAAUAGGGCUGUGUAAACUAGUGAGAAACAAUUGUAUAUUUGAGAUGAAAAACACCUACCAGAUUUAGAAGUACUCGUAUGAAGCAAAGUUAGGGCAAGGCCUGAAGAUGAGAGAACGAUUGCAGAUAGUAUUUCAAGGCGUAGGAUCAACCACUCAUUUGCUGUGAAACUAUAGAAGAAUGGACUUGCAUUCAUGUCAAUGAAGCCCAAAUUCUUUGAAAAGUGUCUAUCUUCCUCCCCGAAAGCUCUAAUUGUCAUAGCUCCAGCAAUGGACUCAGAAAGAUGGCUUGCAACAAAGGACUUAGUCGUGCCAUUGAUUCGCAUCAACUCUUUUCCAGCAGCAAAGUAGUACCUCUGGUUGUUAAAAUGAAAACAGACAUGAUCAAUUGCUGAGAGGCCAAGAGAAGUACAAAAUAUCUUACAAGGAAGACACGCCUAAAUGAGGAGGGAAGCAGCUGCCUCUACUACAUCUAAGAAAACAUCAGACAGCAGUGUAUUACCUGGAUGAGUAUACUUAGAUAAAUUGUUGGUAAAAUGACAAACACAAGUUCCCAGGCAAGAAUAGUCAAUACUCCAAAAUUGGCAUAAGCAUUCAUAGUUGUCCCGACAGCAACAGUAAAUUUGAAGGCCACAUCAAGGUCAACCACACUCAAAUCAGAAGAUACCUACAAAAAGCAAUAAAAAAAAUAAGUGUUUUGUUCUUUGUAGUAAGCAUUUAUUUUAAGCAUCUUACCCGACUGAGUAUCCUUCCCAGAGGUGUUGAGUCAUAAAAGGACAUUGGUGCUCGAAAAAGAGAGCUCAGCAGUGUAGAAAAUAUAGAUUGUGAUGCCCCAAGGCCUAAAAGAACAACAAAAAAAGAACGGAGCAAUAAAAAGAGUGAUAAGCUUAAUCCGAUCCCUGUGUAUACUGUAAUCAGUUUCAAUUGGCUAACACUAGAAUUGUGGAUAUUUGCAGCCAACCAAUAGUUUUGCACCAACUGCUCAACAAUGAAUGUGAUAUGAGAUAGAGUUGCCAAAAAGAAGUACAAGAAUCCCUUGCUGUAUUUCAAGUAUUGUAGGUAAGGCUUGAGACCGGUGUCUCCUGUUUCUCUUUCUUCUUUCUUAAUUAAUUGCUCUCCUGAUGUUUCUCUUAAUUGUUUUUCGGUGUAAAUCUUCUGUAUCUCUCCCUUCUGAAUUUUAGAUUUCUGGGUAGAAUCAUGCUCAGGUUGCCUCUCAGAACGAACUGUGGCAUUGUGUGCAUUGACAAGGUCCUGGAACUCUUGACUAGAGUGCAUCAGUUGCUCAAAGGUAGCAGCUUGCAGGAUCUCCCCUUCGGACAUUAACUGCCAACAGAAUUAGUCAUUUGGACUGCUUGAUUUAAAAGCAUGUGUUACUCAAGGAUUGCCUUCCAGAUGAUGGAAAUUAUUUGUUAAGAAAGGAAAAUGAAGUCAAAUGAGAGUUAAAGAACGAUAUCCAAGAAAGUAACUGUACUAACCAGAACCGAAUCAAAUGCAGGAAGGAAGUCCACCUGGUGGGUCACAAGUAUGACCGUCUUCGUUGAUAGAGCUCCCAUGACAUAUUCCUGGCCACAACUGGCAUUAGCAUUCACUCUGAAAGCAAUAACAUUAGUAGCAUAAUUUCUGAGAAAGGAGAACCAUACAUACAUUAAAUAGACUGGUUGCAGUAUGUGCAUCGACCGCACUAAAUGGAUCAUCCAGGAGAUAUACAUCUGCAUCCUGAUAUAAUGCGCGUGCGAGUUGAACCCGUUGCUUUUGUCCACCACUCAGAUUAACACCUCUUUCUCCUAUUUCAGUGAGAUCACCAAAUGGAAGCAUCUCAAGGUCCUUCACUAGGGCACACUUCUCAAUAGCCUCUCUGUAUCUGUAAGGAUCCAUAGCUGACCCAAACAGAAUAUUUUCUUGUAUGGUCCCUGUUGGAAUCCAAGCUGUCUGAGAGACGUAAGCAAUCUUUCCAUAAACUCGAACCUGGAAAAGAUGGAUCCAGAAUUUGUAUUAAGACUUUAGUUGAGGUAAGUCUCCUAGAACCUUUUAGGGCUCAUGAAGUUGUCUACCUUCCCCAUUUUCCUCCAUGAUGUUAAUAUCUACCAAAUGAAGUGUGUAUAAAUCAGGAAUGAUGCAUUACUUCUUUCAGAUUUUAAGUUUGUUUUCUUUCGUAUUCCUACUUAGGAAACCAUGAAAGAAUGUAAAAAUUCAUGCCAGUUUGUUGUUAUUCAUUCCAGAACAACUGUGCACAAAGUAGCUGUUUAGUAUUUAUUCUAGUCCAUGGAUGAGGAAGAAAUGGAAUUGAAAGGGGUACUUACUAUGCCAUUAAUGUGUGGAACUUCUCCAAGAAUAGCAGCUAAUAGUGUUGAUUUACCUGAGCCAACCUCUCCACAAAUAGCUACCCUUUCCCCAGGCUUAACCACCAAAUUUAUGUUCCUUAGUGUAGCCCUUGUAGAGUUAUCCUCCCAUGAAAUUCUGUUGCUCUUGAUAAAAAUGGAUUCCUCCAGCUCCUUUCCAUCACACAUCUUCCUUACAUGUUUGUUCUGCAGCUCUGGUGCGUCAAGAAACUUUGCAAUCCGAUCUAACGAAACCUUGGCCUCAAUGAAUGCUGUAAUGACAUCAGGGAUUAACCUAAUUGGCUCCUGGGCAAUGCGUAAACUUGCCAUAAAUGUGAAAACAUUGCUAGCAGAGAGAGUAGUUCCAAUAAAGUAGCAUGCCGUGAAAGUAAUGGCUGAUACUACAAUGGGAGAUGACCAAAACAGAAUCAGACUGUACCCUUUCUGUGACAGAACUGACACUAACCACUUGAACUCCUCUUUCCUUAACCUUUCUAUGACAUUCUUGAAAUGAGUCUCCCAAGCGUACAGCUUCAGGCUUUUCAUGUUUGUAAGUGCCUCUGUGAAAGCCUUCAGCCUCUUGUCCUGAGUUCCCAUGAGCAUUUUCUGGUACUUGUGUUGUAACCUUCCCAUGGGAGAGUUUGCAACUACAGUCAAUAUUACUACAAACAGAGCUGCUAUAGUUGCAAGCCCCAACGAAUAGUAAAUAAUAAUCAAUGCCAGACACAACUGGAGGCUUGUUGACCAGAUCUGGUGAAACCAGUACGGGAAUUCACCUAUAUUGUAAGCAUCAAUAAUAACAAAGCUCACGAUCUGAGCAGGGGAAUACAACCCCUUUGCAGUGUUUGAGAGCUUAAGCUGCUUCUGAUAGAUGGCUGCAGAUAGAAACGAUCUCACUUGGAGCCCAAUCAAUCUAGUUCGAAAGAACCACUGCCUCUCUGAUAACGAUUCUAAGCAUUUAGUAAGGAAGAGCCCUCCCGUCAGUGCAUAACCUUCAUACUUAAAAGCUUCUUUGCCUUCAGCAACCAGGAUGAAGGCUCUAAGAAACAGAGGGCCAGUAGAAAGUGUUAGCACCUUCAUCAAUGCAAAGAAGCCAGAAAUCAAAAUCUGUUUCCACUGCCACAAUAAUAUAGUCGACAAAAUGGAAGGAGAGUCAGAUGACUGCUGUUUCUGCUUGUUCUGCUGUUCCAUGAACAUUAAGUAACACAUUUCCGCUCGAUCUUCCCUUCUUAGCUGUGGAAUGUCUUUGUCCUCGAGAGUUUUCUGCUUACCUUUCUUCAUCAACGAAUUCAACCACCAAAAUGACAUUCUACUAAUAAGCCCAGCUUUCUCAAAAGGGGGUAAGCUGGCAUCUGUAUUGAUUUUAUCACCAGCACUGCUUCCUUCACCUGGCAAAGGUCUAUAGAAGGCAGCACCAUCAAAUCCUGAAUCAGUUCCUGCAUAUUUUGGUCCCGUAAAAGUGCAGAACAUCAAUAGAAUCGCUCCAGGAAAAGAUAUAACAUCUAAAAUCACCUUAACUGAUACUGCAUCGCCCACAAUAGCUUCCCAGAAAGAUGUAACACAGGGAAAACCUGCGAUAAAGAAUGCAAGUACUGAACAGAGCCUCAGCCCUGCAUUAUGUAGAAGUUGAUGCCUCUUAAACCUCACAGCUAAACCCAGAAAAAACCAGGUGAAGCCUUGUAAUAAGACCACUAGCCAGCCAUGCAGAGGUAGAAUGGUGUUCUCUUCACUCAGCUUCUCUCCCACAAUCCAGAACCCCAAACCGAGAUAAACCAACCCUAAACUACCAUUAAGAAAGGCAGCAGAAUUUAGCAUUGUGGAAAAGCAUCUAGACUGUUGAGGGGAUAAGAUCUUCAUAGCUGAUGCUUUAUAUAUGAAGAUAAAUAAUAAGUAGAGCAAGACGAUGAUGUCAACAGAAAUGACCAAAAUAUGAUUGAGACAUGAACAUGGACAGACGAUGGCUAGGAACCCAGAACUGCAUAUCUUUCCAAUUUUACUCCAACACCAGGAACUUCCACAGAAAACAGUCCAGAGACUCUCACCCAUGUUGUAUCUUCUUGCCUUCACAAAACUGUAGCUGUAAUAAAGUAAAGAAAACAAAGGGGUUAUUUAUUAGAUUUUUGGUGUUUUAGACUUGGGAAGUAGUACUAAACAUGAGAACCAUCAAUGCAUGCCUAAUAGUUUCAAUUUUCAGUUGAAAUUAAAAGUAAAAUUUAUCAUACAGGACUGAUCUAAACUUAAUUUCACAACCCCAGGUGCCUAAGAUCAGGAGAAAGAAUCCAAGAACAACUGAACUGAGAUUGAAGAGAACUGACUAAAGACAUAGAACACAAGAAAUUGCAGAAAAAAAGUAGGGAGAAUGGGAUCCAAUGGAGAUGAAUCAAACAUGAAAUCAGAAGAAGAUGUGAACAAGUUCAGGAAACUUAUGCAAAACUCCCCAUUUUUCCGUUUGAUUGUUGAGAAAAAUGCUGGAAAGUAAAUGAAAACCUUAAAUCUCAUAACAAGUAGGGGAUGGAGUGGUAGUUUUAAGAUUGCAAAACUUCUUUUCUUUUACCAUGAGUCUCAGUAACCAAACACACAAACAACCCCACUAGAUCUGUUCUCUCAAGCUGAAAGGAUGAACCCAAAAAAUACGAGAACAACAAGAUCAAACACUUACCUUAGGAUACGUUGGACAAUGAUGUCAAACCAAACCAGAUUUUUUUAUUUAAGCUAAAAUUUCAGUCCAAAUUCCAAAUACUGAACAAAGACUUGAGCAUUUAAGGUAGAAAAACAGAACCCAGAAGAGGAAAAUAAUAGAAAAUUAAUAUUCACAAUGCACCGAGUCAGCCCACAAGAAAAUGAAGCGUCAUAUGAAGGACCCAGGAAUUCAAAGCAAUUAAUGAAGAAACAGACAGAAAGAUGGAGCUACUUCAGAGAGUGAAAAGUGAAAACCAUCUUGAACCAAUUAUAGAAAGCACAGAACAUGGUGGUGGACAAAAUAUUAUGCUGAAGAAGUGCUACAAAAUCCAUAUAGGUAAAAAACCUGCAUAGGCCAUCCAGAAUCUCACCAUCCCUCAUCAAAUCUGUCUGUUUUUUCUCCUUUUUUUUCCCUUCUUUUUUAGUGAGCAUAGGUCAUUCAGAAUAUCACUCUGCCUCAUCAAAUCAUGGGUGUUCAUCUCGCCCUCUUCUACACCUCACUGCUCUCUUUCCUUGCAUUAUAUUAAUGUGUUGUUCCACUCAAACGACAAAUCGAGUUGUUCUCAUGCUUCACGAUGUCGUUGUUGAGGGAGAAUAUUAUCAAGUCUCUGUGUAUAUAUUGUUUCUGUCCACUUCUAUGGAAUUGAUUCUCUAGCUAUAUGGUUAGGUUCGACUGAUGGAAUCAUUUCAUUAAUCUCAAAGUCACCCUCAUUCUCUGCUCCAAUGAUUUUAUUUUUAUAUUUUAUAUUAAAAAAUGACAUUCAGACUGACGUGAUCAACAACACCAUCAGAAUUCUCUUAACCCAACCCUGGGCCUACUACCUUAUAAUUUAAGUUUUUAAAACGAUUUUCGAAAAAAUCAUUUUCAAAAAUAAUUUUAUGAUAGUUUUUAAAAUAAAAUUAAGAAUUUGAAUUAUUUUUUAAUCUAUCUUAUAUAUUUUCAAAUAUUUUUUAAAAAUAAUUUUUAUUUAUAAUAUUUUAUUUUUAUUAAUUCUCUGUAUUUAUAUAAAUAUUUCUUAAAACAAUUCAAAAAAAUAAGUAAAAAUAGUUAAAAUAUGUUAUCACAAAAUAUCAAAACAAGUUCUUAAAAAUAUAUUUUUUGUCAAAAAAAUCACUAAUGUUUUUGUGGACCCCGCAUUUUCGGCUCAUGCGUUUCCCACUCGAUGGCGAGCUCGAUUUUUAUUUGAAAAAUGAUUUUUAUUGAUUAAGAAAAUGACUUGGAGUCGCCACUUAUUUUUGUUUUAUUUUUAAAAGGGUAAACAAAAUAAGAAAGAAAAACCCUAAGUGUGACUCUUUAUUUUGGAAAAGACGGUCUACGAAAAAUCGGGUCGAGUUCAGGGGUCAGGUUACUUAUCGGGAAGGUACGGUAAGGACCGUAGCACCCUUCUAAGUCCCUAAAGUCGGGUCUCUACUAAUAAAAUGAAGCAAUCAUGACAAUUGAUGAGGGAAUCAAUGAAUACUUAGAGUGAUCAUGCAUAUGUGAGAAUCUAAACAUGCGUAUAGAAAAUGACCCAAGCGGGUGUGGAUGCGUACCUGGGCAGUGAUCCAUAAAGCGCUAUCAAGAAGUGAAGUUAGCGCACAAUUAAAGAAUAAUUUCGAGCAUGUCAUAGAGCAUAAUAAAAUCGAUCAUGCAUGGCAAUUAAAUCAAACAAACAAUCAAUCAAUCAUGAGGAAAUCACAUGUGUUGGGCCCCCACCAAAACCCGAUUUAUAUUACAUGAAUUAAUCCCAUAAAUUCCAUUAUUCGGAAUUACGAAAAAUUCGUUUCUGCUUAUUAAAGUCAAGAGGAGCAGAAGAUUGUUUGAAAGCCAGAGCGGAAUUAAAACUAUUUGGGAGAAAAUUAGAUUUUUGAAAUUUAUUAGAAAAUUGGAAUCUUGAAGAUCACUAGAAAAUUGGAAUUUAGAAAUUAACUUUAGGAAUUGGAAUUUAGGAAUUAAAUUUUAAAGAAAUUGGAAUGUUGAAAAUUAUUUGAGAGUUUGGAACUAUUAAAUUAUAAAAAUUGGAAACUUGGAAUUCAUUUGAAGGUGAAAUUUUUGAAAAUAAAUAAAUAAAAUGAUGACAAUAAAUAAAUAAAUAAAUAAACAAAUGUGAAAAUUGAAAAUUUAGAAAUUAGAAAUUAAAUUUGAAAAUUGGAAAUCGAAAUUUUGAAGAAUUAUUUAAAAAUGGAAUUUUAAAAAUAAAAUAAUAAUAAUAAUAACAAUAACGAAGAUAGUAAUUAUUAAAUAAAUAAAUAUAAAAAUUGAAAUUUUAGAAAUUGGAAAUUAAAUUUAAAAAAUUAAAAAAAUGAAAUUUCGGAUAUUAGAGUUUUGAAUAUUAAAUUGAGAAAAUGAAGUUUGAAAAAUUAAUUUUAAAAGAAUUCAGAAUUUUAAAAAUUAAAUUUAAAAAUUAAAUUAAGACAUCAACAUAUGAAAGAAUUAAAAAAAAAAAGAAAAAAUUUGAGAUUGGUAGUGGGUUGGUCUUGUCGGUGGUGAUGAUGGAAAUUACAACAUGGAAUGAUGGUUGGCUUUUAUGGAUAAAAAAAAAAAAAAAAAAAACAUUUGACUAAUGAUGAGAACUGGAAAUUGAGACUUUUAAUGGCACUCUCAUAAUAUGCUACUCCCAAAAUCAAAGGCAAACUAAAGUUAGCAUUGAUGGCGUUUUAUGAGAGAGAUAAGUUUCAUGUUCCUGCUGCGCAGACUUGCUGGCAUCCUCUCGUCUCUGCACAGCUCCGCCAAGUACUCCAGCCGAGAUCUUCUUGUCCCUUCACAAAAAUACAUCAGCGUGUUUUCCUUCGCCGAGAACUGUAUGGACCAGCUUCUCCCGUCCAAAGAGGCGGAAAUCCUUGGCUUUGACGGACGACGGCGACGCUGUUUUAUCAGGAUUGGAAACGGAGUCGGACGAUGACGAAUCAUGGCCUUGCAACUCGUUGGUGAUCUUUUCCAGCGAGGAUUCAGAUGCGGCUCUCGAACCUUUGGCGUGUUCAGCCAUUUUUAUCGGACUGGGAUCCGAAACACAGUCCUAUCGUGUCGGCGAAAUGAGAGGGGAAGAUGAUACUUCAGGGACAGAAACAAGAUUCCGAUGAAUGAAAAUGGAGCUGAGAGAGUGGCGACGAUGGAAAGAGAAAUGGGUUCAUAUUAGUGGAAAAAAACAUAUACAGAGUCAAAACCAAACUGCAACCCAUGUCUCUGGUGUCUCAUGAUGGAUAAGACGAAGGCCUUCAUCAGUUUCUCAAGCUGGAUCCAUGGAACAGAGAAAGAACCAACAGCACAAGGGUAUAAACGAACACAUAAAGCAACAAAGACAUCCAGUAGAAUGAUACCCAGAAUAAAAAAAUAUGGUUCACAAUGAACGUACCUGGAGUGCUUCCUGGAGUCGGAUUUGCUCCCCUUCCCCUCAGCUUUCCUGCCCCAGCCCCAAAGAAAUACAUAUAUUUUUUCUCUGCUGGCAGCUUCUUCUCCAAGCUGUCUCUCGCUGCCACCAGCAGCUCGCCUCAUCCCAUCCCAUGGCCGCCCAAAGCAGCUCGUUUCCCGGUGGUCAGAGAAGUAAUCAUAUAAAAAUGGCCAAAAACUCCUCCUCCCCGGUAGGGGGUCUACAGUUUAAUUUUUAAGAAUAGAAAACUAUUUAAAAAAUGAUUUCUAAACAAGCUUUAGCUUUGAAGUUGGUAUCAUUCUAGAAACAUAAGGUUAUGUUUAAUUUUUGAAAAGCAAUAGAGAAAUAAAAAAAAUAUUAAAGAAAAUGAUUUUUUUAAUAUUUGAUUUCAUUACAAAAAAAAUGAAAGAAAAUCAAGUAUAAUUAAAAUUAAUUAAAAAAUUAUUUGUUUUUAAAUUAUUUUAAUCUAUAUAAUGAAGGGAAAUAAAUGAAAUAAAUUUGAAGAAGUAUAUAAAAAUAAUUUAAUAAAUUUAUUUAAAUCUGUUUUUUUUUUCUUCCUUUUUUUUCUUUCCUCUUACUUUUUUAGUUGCAUUUUUUUCUCAAAUUUUUCGGUAAUCAAAUAUAGUUUAAAGGUUAGUAUACAUUAUUAAACAAUUAAUGAAUAACUUAAACUUUUGGUUUAAAUAGAGUGGGUUUAGUUUAAGAAUAUUAACUAUUUGUAAACUUGUUAGUUUUAUUUUUUAUUUUUUAUUUUUUAAAAUUCUUUGCAGUUUCAAAUAUUUCCUAUUGAAGUAAUUUAAUGGGAGUUAAAUAUAUUAUAAAGGAAAACAUUUUCGAAGUUGAAGUCUCUACAUGCAGUGAUAUAAACUAACACUUCAAACACAUUCAUACAUGCUCUACCCUUAAUUAGUCGAAAAUUUAAAGAGACUGAUUAUGUUAUUGAAAUUUUCAAUUUUAAACUUUGAUAUAUAUAAUUAAAUUAACUAUUAUCUUAUUUUUAAUUUUUUUAAUGCUUAAAAAAAAUAUUGAGGAAAAAAAAGAAAAAAAAAUAGAUUUUACAUUAAUAAAUUAUUUUUAUUUGUUUUUUCAAAUUUAUUUAAUUUAUUUAUAUAUAUAAAGAUUAUAUAAUUUUAAAAACUAUAAUGGUAUAUUCAUUUUUAAUUAUAUUUUAUUUAAAAAAAAUCUAUGAUAAAUUAAAUAUAAGUGACUUAUUUUCUUUAAUAUUUUUUCUAUAUUUUUAUGCAACUUAAAUCAUGAUGAAAAAGAAAAAGAAAAAGAAAAAAGAAAUAUUGGUCAUAUUUUAUGCAUGAUAAAGAAAAAUUUCUUUGGGUGUGAUUUAAACUUUAAAAAAAAAACCAAUUUAUUUUCAUGUUGGGUUAUUUGGUUAGAAGGAUGAAAUAAUUCUCAAUUAAAAAUUUUUUUUUUAAUAAAAAUAAUUUUAUCUUUUAAAACUUAUUGGCAGAUUAUCUAAAUAUUGAUCUCAAAAAUGUAUUAUUUUUAAAAUUUUAAAAUUUAAAAUUAUUUCAUCCUUUUAAUCAAUUUAUUUUAAAAAAUUCUCUUUAAUUUGGUUCAAUCUUUUCAAUGGACCUCAACUUUCCAUAUUGGUAGAUACCUUGAGAAAGAUGUCUGCCAAUCAAGGUCAUGAAGCAAGGCAUCCAAAACUCCUUAGCAGAUAGAAUUAUUAUUUUGAAGUUUAAGAAUGAGAAAAUGACAUCAUUUGUAAUUAAUUUUUGGUUUUGUAAGAUUAAGAAUGAGAUUAGAAAAUAUACUUUUGGAUGGAAUAUUAUAAUCGUAUUAAUAUAUUUAGAUUAAAAUAAUUUAUUUAGAUUGAAUAUUUUAUACCUAAUCUCUAAAUGUAGCGAUGGAAUAUACUCAUAUUUGAUUCUAAUAAAGUGAUAGGAAGAAAGAAAACUCGGAAAAAAAUGAUCUUUUAAAAAAAUACAAAAUUAAAUUAAAUUAAUUAAAAUUUAAUAUACUUUUAAAUUAUUUAAUAUUCACAAGACUUUAUUUAAUUUAUGCUCCAAUAAUACACAAAAAUGCAAAUUAAUUAAAAAUCAAAUAACUUAUUUUUUAAAGAAAACGUAAAUUACAAAUUUCAUGAUGUUUCAUUUUACACAAAAAUGAAAGAUUAAAAAUGGUUUCUAAUUUGUCCUUACAAAAAAUGUGACAUUAGGUGGAUUCCUUGAGACAUGGUGGACUGAUUGGUACCUAAGUUAUGAUGAUGUCUUCUCAUACAUUUCUUUUAAACUCAUCAAAUCAUUAAAGGGAAUGUAUCUAAUAAAUUUAAAAAGAAAUUCCUCACUUUUUUUCUUAUUAACAUUUGUUUUAUCUUUCAUUCCUUAUGAAUUCUAAAUUAAUGUUUUCUUUGUUAUAAUUAUUAUGAAUGGACAUCCACAUUAAUUAGUCUUUGACAAUUUAUUUGUGAAAAUGUAUUUAUAGCAAAAAAAACAAAUCAUGCCUAAAAUCAGGUCAAAUUGUUUUAAUUAUUCAAAUUGACUUUUUAAUUAGUAAUAAGAUUAAGUAUACAAGUCUUAUUUGGCUGUUCUAGGAGUAACUAUUGAUGAAUAUUAUGGCAAAUUUUUUUACUAAAGAGAUUUAUUACCAUGAUAUUAAAGAAGGUGAAUAAAUUUUUUUCUUAAAGUCUCAAAGAAUGAAGCAACAAUAGAUCAUGAUCCCAAAAUCUCUAUCAAUUUCUUCCAUCUUUAUAUUUCCAAUUAAAAGCGUAGUAACUUGGUUAUAAUUAGAAUAUCUUUCUAGUUUGUGUUUAACUAACUAAAAAGGAAAAAAUAUUUUUUUGUUAUGCGGUUCAUUUUAUACUAGGAAUUACCUUUAAAGUGUUUUUAUAAAAAUUUAUGAUAAUUUUAGUAUUUUAAAAAAUUUUCAUUGAACAUAAGUCUAGUUUUUCGAUUGUGUUAUAGGAGUUUUAUCUAAUAAGAUCAUGUCUGAUAUGUUUUUUACCGUAAAGAAGUGGAAGUAGAAAUGAUUACUUUUGUUAUAUAAUUGAUUUUAUAUUUAAAACUAUAUUUUAAAAAUAUGUUUAGCAAAUAUAAAAAUAAUUUAUAUUUUUUAAAAAUUAAUUAAAUAAAGCUUUGAUUCUAACAUCAAAGCAUUUACAUUUUCAAAAAAUUGAUGAAAAAUUGAUGAUCAAGAAAUCUAAGAAGAAUUAUCUUUGGUAUUUAAAGGAUGAUUUUAAAGUUCAAAUGACUCCCAAGUGAAACUUGAAUGCAAUCAAAGCCUAUAACACCAUUGGAAAUAUUAUUAUUUCAUUAUUUUAUUUAUAAAAAUUUGCACUCUACUACAAAAUAAUAGAACUAUAUAGUAGUUUUAUUAUAUAUAUGUGACUUGAGUCAUAACUUGGGUUUUGGUAUGACUUAGGUGGAAAUUGUUUUUUUUGGUUUUUUAGUUAAAGUAAUUUGUUUUCAGAAUUUAUGCUGUUUAUUUUUCUAUUUUUUCAUAAUUUAUUAUAAAUUUUUUACUAAAUAAAAAAAGUCAAAAUAUAUUACUUUUUUUAAAUAGAAAAAAUAACAUAUUUGAAAAUGUGAAUCUCAAUAAUGAACUACACCUAGAGGGGGGUGAAUAGGUGUUGUAGAACAAUUUAAAAAUUCUCUCAACAAAGAUUACCUAACCUUAGACUAUCUUAAUGUCAAGAAUUUUUUUCUUCCAAUAACUUUUCAACAAAGCAAAACAUCCACAAGCAAUAAUGUAUACAUCAACACUCUCCCAACAAUUUAUCAAUGUAAAACACAUGCAAAUGCUUCAACACUCCUAAAAAAUAAAUCAAAAUAUAGAGUGAGAGAAAGAGACAAUGAACACCGGAUUUUUAACGUGGAAAACUUCCGAAGAGAUCAAAAACCACGGGCCUAUCACCGAUUGAAAACUCCACUAUGAAGAAUAAAAACUGAGUACAAGGUUUUACCUAACUCAAGCCAAUCAAUCCUUCCCGGAAUACUUGACUAGUACCUUCAUUUUCAGCUUCUCCUGUUGGAGCACACUUGGAGUCCGCACCAAGCUCAAUCUCGGCCUCUUCUUGAAUCCACACAAGAAGAAAAUGGGUUUUUACAUAAACCCAAAUAGAAUGAGAGAUUGAGAUGUGAAUGAAGGAAUGAAUCAACCCAUUUAUUGCUCAAGAAAAUCCAUUGAAAACUAGUUUGGAAAAUAUUAAGAGAAGUGGAUUUUCUUUGCAAUCAAAAACCCUAAAUUAGGAAAGCAAAAAUGAGAAAAUGAAGAACACUUGGAGUGUGGCUGCUCUCCCCACGUUUUCUGCAGUCUCUCUUACCAGAAAAUGAGAGAAGAUUGGUUUUUAAAGUGUAAAAAGAAACCCUUAAUCUAAUGGCUGAGAUUUGAUCAAAAAAACAUUAGUUGGAUAGAUCCACCCCUACACUUGGAUCGAUCCAGAAACAGAAGAAUGAAAGCUUUGCACCAAAAACCAUUUUUCUCAACUUUCUAACACAUUUAAAGAUUAAAAACCGGGUUGAUUCACACUCAAUCACUCCACACUUGACUACAUAUCUCGGCCUCUUAGCAAAGUCUUAGUUUUCAAAGUCAAGUAGUACAAAUAGGAAUAGGAAAGCCGAGUUAGGGGACACUUAGGAAUUUUGUCCGGAAUUGCCAACCUAGCUAAACACUCACAAUAUUGAUUUUUUUUUUUAAUACUUAAUAGAAAUAAAAUAUUAUAAAAACAAACAACCUAAUAUUUAAUACUAUUAAACAUUAAGUACCUAUUUAGAAUUAAGUAAAAAAACAAACACCACCUUAACCAUAGUAUCAUUUGGGCUUCCAUGACUACCCUGUAGCAACUGGACAAUAGAUGCUAUGGUCCAUGACUACUCUUUAACAAGAGACUUCCGAUAAAACAGGACCUAAAAAACCAUAACAAUCCAGCUCAUCAUGCAGCAACCUGACCAAAGAGCCGCUUGCGAAGCUGCAGUGGGAAGAAAACAAGAAAAUGGUUAAAGAAGAAUGGCCACACAUGGAUAAACUAAGGCUAUCAUUCACCAUCAAAUUUGAGAGACACAUGCCCAUAUAAGAUGAAUGCAGCAGAUAAUCUAAAGAUGAAAUAUCCAAUUGACUGAUAAUUGGGUAUAUAAACCAAUUAACUGGGAAAAAAAAAUGAACUUAAGAAGGAUGAAUACCCCUGGAAGUUUUUUUAUGAAAUACAACAUCCAAUCUUGCAUCAAGGGUGUUCUCCCAUAAAAUUUUUCUACCAGAGGGAUUUUCCAUCACUUUUCUUUCAACAAAAGCUGUUUCAUCCAUGUUUAUAUAUUUCCCACAACCAGUCCGAUAUAAAGAGUAAAAGAUGCAUGAGUUAUAUAUUAUUUUUUUGAAAAUGAAAGAUCAGCCAGCAGUCUCACAGAAAGAGUACAUUUGUACCUUUACAAACCUUUCCACUACAUAACAACUGUUAGUAAGCAAAACAGACCAUAUGCCCACAAAAAAUGGGAGGAUCAAAGUUUACGCUUCUGCCAGUGAUCCAUUUCCAAUACCUCAAGUUAGUGUUUAAGUCCAUGAUCUAGGUUUCUUUCUUUUUUCUUUUUUUAUUUAUUUUCCUUUUUUUUUAAGGUAAUAAAAAGAGAACACCCUGGUCUGCUCAACCUGUUUGGGCAAAGUAAAAUUUGGGCAAAUUAGCUGAGUUUAUAUUGACCUGAACCACAAGAUCUUUGAGAAGCCUUUUAUAGACAUGGUGAUCAUGUCCAGAGACGAUGUUUUAAAAUGCAAUUCAUUAUUGCAUAUUGAUACUAUCCAGUAGGUAGAAGUAGAACCGUAGAACAACUCAUAACUGCAAAAGCAUACCAUUAGCCUUCAAAGCCUGUUUAAGUUUCAGAGCCAAUCUCCUGAGGCGUUACUGCCAUUUGAAGAUCGAGACCAGUACUCCGUGACAAGCUGCCCAAACAGCGAUCCCUCCUUCUUUAUCAGUUUCAUUGGCACAUCGUACUCUACUAAUUUUCCUACGGAAGCAAAAGCACUAGUUAUUUGAAUUUGUUUUACCAUAUUGAUCCCAACUAGAAUGAAAUGUUCCUUCGUAGAAACUCACCGUCACUGAUAGCAAGCACCAUUGUGCAGUCCAUCACGGUUGGGAUUCUGUGGGCUACUGUAAUUACAGUGCAGUCUGCAAAUUCUGUUCUUAUGGUCUUCUGGAGAAUGGAGUCUGUUGCAUUGUCUAUAGAUGCAGUGGCUUCAUCAAGCACUAGUAUCCGACUUCUCUUCAGUAGGGCACGUCCCAAGCAGAAUAAUUGUCGCUGGCCCAUGCUCCAAUUUGAUCCGUCAUGUACAACUGUAGGGCAGACAGAUUGUUAGCAAGAGUUUUUGAAUCCAAAGAAUGGUACCAGUGUGUUUUAUGUUUCAUACCUAAGGAGUCCAGGCCCUCUUCUUUCUCUUGAACAGCCCCUCGAAGUUGACAUUUUCCCAGAACCUUUCACACAUUCAUGAGAAACAAUCUUAGUGUAGGAUAUAAAGUAAAUUUACCUUAUUAGGAAUCUGUACUUUUUGAAGGGACUACCACGACAAAUAUUUGGUAUGGAAAGAAAAUUAGGAGGUAUUUAAUAGCACUCUAAAACAUCAUUGUGUUCCAAAACACAGAAUAUCAGGAGCUCGAUCAAUGACAAUGGAAUUCAAAAUCUGACAGCGUUUAAUUAGUUUGUUAGUGUAGAAACUGCAAUGUCUAUGCACUUAAGAGUGAAGCCUGCUUCAUAUCACUGGCAGAAUCUUUUGGAGAUCUGUAACAUAUCAUGAUUGAAUCCUAAAAUUAGCAACCACAACAAAUUAAUAGGAAACUAACCUCCCAUAUUUCCUCAUCAGUAUGCAGCGAUAAAGGGUCAAGAUUGUAUCUUAUAGACCCGCUAAACAGAGUUGGUUCUUGUGGAAUGAUCCCAAGACGUGAUCUGAGAUCAUGAAGCCCAAUUGUGGAAAUAUUUAUGCCAUCUAUAAUUAUCUGUCCCUCUGUAGGCUCUACCAAGCGAAACAAAGCGCUGAUAAGAGUUGUCUUUCCACUACCAGUCCGGCCAACGAUCCCAAUUUUCUGUCCUCCUCCAAAUUUGCAACUGAUUCCUUGAAGAACUAGAGGAGCAUUGGGCCGAUACUUGACCUGCUCAAUGUCAUUUCAUCUACUAUAUUAAUCUCUAUAAAUCUUGAAGUUGUAGAACAGAAACAGAUACCCAAAUUCUUACUGAUUUCACCAUACCUUCAAAUCAUAAAUUUCCACUUCACCAAUAGUAGGCCAACUGGGUGGCGGUCGAUUACUCCCUAUGACUUCAGGGGCUUCGCUAGGAAUAUUCAUGUACUGUUCUAAUCUUUCAACAGAAACAAUCAUAUUUGCUAAAAGGCACUGGCUUUGGGCAGAAAAUACGAAGAAUACAUUCACUGAAAGGCCAUACGAUAAUGCCAUUCCAAUAAAUCCUGCCAUCAGAACAUUGACGACGAAAAUGCUCAUUAGACAAUAAUACCAUAAAUGGUUGUCAAUUACUAAGAUUUCUUUAAAUAUCACAUUGACCAAGCUGUUUUUGAAUAUCAAAUACUGUGCACGUAGGAAGUUAGUAGAAGGGUUUUUCUUUUGGAUUAUGCACUGAUCUGUUUGUAUGAUUAUUGUGUAAGAAUCAUGGACUUGUUAGCUCACUUUGUUCUUGAUAUAACCCAAGUUUCUAGUUAUGAUGUUGAGAAAGUUGGAGCUAAAAUGGGUUUAUUAUAGUGAUUUUUUAUUACUACCAACUGGGCAGCUGUUGUUUCAUGAUCUACAAAGCCCUAUCUUGUAUUCAUUUCACUCCACUCAUCAAGGUCAAGUAGGAAACUAAGAUAGGUAACUUUCCUAUUUAAUGUUGGAUAUUUUAUUGGAUUUUAGGUCAUUACUGAAGUGCCUCUAAAUAUUUCAUUCUCCUGAAGUUCCUUCUUUUCAGUGAGAAAUAUGAAAAUUUAGUGGAGACCCUGGGUUGUAGAUCUCUUUCUUUUACAGUUAAAAACAUAUGCUAUCUAGCAAGCAGUCAUAGCAGGCAACAGAAAAGCAGUUUUUGUCUUGAGGUUUUGAUCCUUUUGGAGAAUUUACCAUUUGUGGCCAUAAUCAGACACUUCAUAUUUAUCAUUUUCUGGUUGUAGAUCUUACCUACUGAAAAAUCCUAAUGGUAUCCUCUUGUAAGGAUCAAAAUUCACAUGAUCAAUUACUAUUCUCAAAGUUGCACAGGCCCCCUUAGGUUAAACAUGUUAUAAACUUCUAGGGAGUUAAAACUGUUGAAAUUAGACCAAAGAGAGUUUUAAGCAACUGCAAGGACAAUUGAAGGAUCUGGCAUGGACCUUCUAAUUUUGUGUCCAUUCUCAUUGGUCAUAUAGUUAGCCUCGUGAGUAAAUUCAAACUAUCUUGGAUUUUGCCUAGUUUGUUGUAUCAACUAAUGGAUAGUUGAGCAUGCAGGGUUAGGUACAGGAAGGACCUGUAAUUUCGGUAGUGUCUUUAGUUUGUAGUUUAGUACCCUUAUGGAAUCCUCUAGGAAAGAAAGAGAUAAGAGUAUUUUUGGUUUUUUUUUCUUUUGGAGACGGAAGGUUUUGUUAUUAGCAUCCACAAAUGGGGUAAAAUGGCAGAUCUCUAGCUGAUAUUGGGCAUGCUAGUUCAGGUCAUUAGGCCAGUGAUCCGGGUGGCUCCUAUGAGAUAAAUCUUCAAGUUGCUGCAAGUUAAAAAUGCAAUAGGGUGAUGGAAAGGCUGAAUGUAACAUGGGUGGAAUUCAUAAAAAAGAUAAAAAUCUCAAUAUUGAAUGGUGACUUGUCUUACUAUCAAGCCAAAUGGCUGGAAAGGAUCAUUGUAAUUAAACCAAGGUUGUGAUCAAAUGGUACUUGUAGAGGAACGAAUUUACGAUUUCAUCUUAGAGAAUUGAUAGUUAGGAGUGUUCAAGCAAACUAACAAAUUCAAAUGUAAUCGAGCUGUAUAAACUAGUGCCAAAAACACCUACCAGAUUUAGAAGAACUCGUAUGAAGCAAUGUUAGGGCAAGGGCUGAAGAUGAGAGAACGAUAGCACAUAGUAUUUCAAGGCGUUGGAUCAACCACUCAUUUGCUGUGAAACUGUAGAAGAAUGGACUUGCAUUUAUGUCAAUGAAGUCCAAAUUCUUUGAAAAGUGUCUAUCUUCCUCCCCGAAAGCUCUAAUUGUCAUAGCACCGGCAAUGGACUCAGCAAGAUGGCUUGCAACAAAGGACUUCGUCGUGCCAUUGAUUCGCAUCAAUUCUUUUCCAGCAGCAAAGUAGUACCUCUGGUUGUUAAAAUGAAAACAAACAUGAUCAAUUGCUGAGAAGCCAAGAGAAGUACAAAAUAUCUUACAGGGAACACACGCCUAAAUGAGGAGGGAAGCAGCUGCCUCUACUACAUCUAUGAAAACAUGAGACAGCAGUGUAUUACCUGGAUGAGUAUACUAAGAUAAAUUGUUGGUAAAAUGACAAACACAAGUUCCCAGGCAAGAAUAGCCAAUACUCCAAAACUGGCAUAAGUAGUCACAGCUGCCCCAAUAGCAAAAGUAAAUUUGAAGGCCAUAUCAAGGUCAACCACACUUAAAUCAGAAGAUACCUACAAAACGACAAUAAAAAAAUAAGUCUUCUGUUGUUUGUAAUAUGCAUAUAUUUUAAGCAUCUUACCCGACUGAGUAUCCUUCCCAGAGGUGUCGAGUCAUAAAAGGACAUUGGUGCUCGAAAAAGGGAGCUCAGCAGUGUAGAAAAAAUAGAUUGCGAUGCCCCAAGGCCUACAACAACAACAAAAAAUGAUCGGAGCAACAAAAAUAUUGAUAAGCUUAAUCCAAUCCCUGUGUAUACUGCAAUCAGUUUCAAUUGGCUAACACUAGGAUUCUGGACAUUUGCAGCCAACCAAUAGUUUUGCACCAACUGCGCAACAAUGAAUAUGAUAUGAGAUAGAUUUGCCAAAAAGAAGUAGAACAAUCCCUUGCUAUAUUUCAAGUAUUGUAGGUAAGGCUUCAGACCAGUGUCUCCCGUUUCUCUUUCUUCUUUCUUAAUUAACUGUUCUCCUAAUGAAUCUCUUAACUGUUUUUCGCUGUCAAUCUUUUGUAUCUCUCCCUUCGGAAUUUUAGACUUCUGGGUAGAAUCAUGCUCAGGUUGCCUCUCAGAACCAACUGUGGCAUUGUGUGCAAUGAUAAGGUCCUGGAACUCUUGACUAGAGUGCAUCAGCUGGUCAAAGGUAGCAGCUUGCAGGAUCUCCCCUUCGGACAUUAACUGCCAAUAAAAUUAGUCAUUUGAACUGUUUGAUUUAAAAGCAUCUGUUACUCAAAGAUUGCCUUCCAGAUUUAGAGAUUAUUUGUUAAGAAAGGAAAAUGAAGUCAAAUCAGAGUUAAAGAAGGAUAUCCAAGAAAGUAACUGUACUGACCAAAACCGAAUCGAAUGCAGGGAGGAAGUCCACUUGGUGGGUCACAAGUAUGACUGUCUUCAUUGAUAGAGCUCCCAUGACAUAUUCCUGGCCACAACAGGCAUUAGCGUUCACUCUGAAAGCAUAGCAUAAUUUCUGACAAAGGAGAACUGUACUUACAUUAAAUAGAUUGGUUGCAGUAUGUGCAUCAACCGCACUAAAUGGAUCAUCCAGGAGAUAUACAUCUGCAUCCCGAUAUAAAGCACGUGCAAGUUGAACCCGCUGUUUCUGUCCACCACUCAGAUUAACACCUCUUUCUCCUAUUUCAGUGAGAUCACCGAAUGGAAGCAUCUCAAGGUCCUUCACUAGGGCACACUUCUCAAUAGCCUCUCUGUAUCUGUAAGGAUCCAUAGCAGACCCAAACAGAAUAUUUUCUUGUAUUGUCCCUGUUGGAAUCCAUGCUGUCUGAGAGACGUAAGCAAUCUUCCCAUAAACUCGAACCUGGAAAAGAUGGAUCCAGAAUCUGUAUUAAGACAUUUGUCUAAGUAAGUCUCCUAGAACCUUUUAGGACUCAUGAAGUUUUCUACCUUCCCUGUUUUCUUCCAUGAUGUUAAUAUCUACCAAAUGAAGUGUGUAUAAAUCAGGAAUGAUGCAUUACUUCUUCAGUUUUUAAGUUUGUUUUCUUUUGUAUUCCUACUUAGGAAACCAUGAAAGAAUAUAAAAAUUCUCUGCCGCUUUGUUGUAAUUCAUCUCAGAACAACUGUGCACAAAGUAGCUGUUGAGUAUUUAUUCUAGUCCCAUGGAUGAGGAAGAAAAUGGAAUUGAAAGGGGUACUUACUAUGCCAUUAACGUGUGGAACUUCUCCAAGAAUAGCAGCUAAUAGUGUCGAUUUACCUGAGCCAACCUCUCCACAAAUAGCUACCUUUUCCCCAGGCUUAACCACCAAAUUUAUGUUUCGUAGAGUAGCCCUUGUAGAGUUAUCCUCCCAUGAAAUUCUUUUGCUCUUGAUAAAAACGGAUUCUGCGAGCUCCAUCCCAUCACACAUCUUCCUUACAUGUUUGUUCUGCAGCUCUGGUGCAUCAAGAAACUUUGCAAUCCGAUCUAACGAAACCAUGGCCUCAAUGAAUGCUGAAAUGACAUCAGGGAUUAACCUAAUUGGCUCCUGGGCAAUGCACAAACUUGCCAUAAAUGUGAAAACAUUGCUAGCAGAGAGAGUAGUUCCAAGAAAGUAGCAUGCCCAGAAAGUAACAGCUGAUACUACAAUGGGAGAUGACCAAAACAGAAUCAGAUUGUACCCUUUCUGUGACAGAACUGACAAUAACCACUUGAAUUCCUCUUUCCUUAACCGUUCUAUGACAUUCUUGAAAUGAGUCUCCCAAGCAUACAGCUUCAGACUUUUCAUGUUUGUAAGUGCCUCUGCAAAAGCCUUCAGCCUCUUGUCCUGUGUUCCCAUGAGCAUUUUCUGGUACUUAUGUUGUAACCUUCCCAUAGGAGAGUUUGCAACAACAGUCAAUAUUACUACAAACAGAGCUGCUAUAGUUGCAAGCCCCACCGAAUAGUAAAUAAUAAUCAAUGCCAGACACAACUGGACGCUUGUUGACCAGAUCUGGUGAAACCAGUACGGGUAUUCACCUAUGUUGUAAGCAUCAAUAGUAACAAAGUUUAUGAUCUGACCAGGGGAAUAUGACCCCUUUGCAGCAUUUGAGAGCUUAAGCUGCUUCUGAUAGAUGGCUGCAGAUAGAAACGAUCUCACUUGGAGCCCAAUCAAUCUAGUUCGAAAGAACCAUUGCCUCUCUGAUAACGAUUCUAAGCAUUUAAUAAGAAAGAGCCCUCCUGUCAGUGCAUAACCUUCGUACUUAAAAGCUUCUCUGCCUUCAGCAACCAGGAUGAAGGCUCUAAGAAACAGAGGGCCAGUAGAAAGUGUUAGCACCUUCAUCAAUGCAAAGAAGCCAGAAAUCAAAAUCUGUUUCCGUUGCCACAACAAUAUAGUCGACAAAAUGGAAGGGGAGUCAGAUGACUGCUUUUUCUGCUUGUUCUGCUGUUCCAUGAACAUUAAGUAACACAUUUCCGCUCGAUCUUCCCUUCUUAGCUGUGGAAUGUCUUUGUCCUCGAGAGUUUUCUGCUUACCUUUCUUCAUCAACGAAUUCAACCACCAAAAUGACAGUCUACUAAUAAGCCCAGCUUUCUCAAAAGGAGGUAAGCUGGCAUCUGUAUUGAUUUUAUCACCACCACUGCCUCCUUCGCCUGGCAAAGGUGUAUAGAAGGCAGCACCAUCAAAUCCUGAAUCAGUUCCUGCAUAUUUUGGUUCCGAGAAAGUGCAGAACAUCAAUAGAAUCGCUCCAGGAAAAGAUAUAACAUCUAAAAUCACCUUAACUGAUACUGCAUCGCCCACAAUAGCUUCCCAGAAAGAUGUAACACAGGUAAAACCUGCAAUAGAGAAUGCAAGUACUGAACAGAGCCUCAGCCCUGCAUUAUGUAGAAGUUGAUGCCUCUUAAACCUCACAGCUAAACCCAGAAAAAACCAGGUGAAGCCUUGUAAUAAAACCACUAGCCACCCAUGCAGAGGUAGAAUGGUGUUCUCUUUAGUCAGCUUCUCUCCCACAAUCCAGAACCCCAAACCCAGAUAAACCAACCCUAAACUUCCAUUAAGAAAGACAGCAGAAUUUAGCAUUGUGGAAAAGCAUAUAGACUGUUGAGGGGAUAAGAUCUUCACAGCUGGUGCUUUAUAUAUGAAGAUAAAUAAUAAGUAGAACAAGAGGAUGAUGUCAACAGAAAUGACCAAAAUAUGGUUGAGACAUGAACAUGGACAGAUGAUGGCUAGGAACCCAGAACUGCAUAUCUUUCCAAUUUUACUCCAACACCAGGAACUUCCACAGAAAACAGUCCAGAGAGUCUCACCCAUGUUGUAUCUUCUUGCCUUCACAAAACUGUAGCUGUAAUAAAGUAAAGAAAACAAAGGGUUAUUUAUUAGAUUUUUGGUGUUUUAAACUUGGAAGUAGUACUGAACAUGAGAACCAUCAAUGCAUGCCUAAUAGUUUCAAUUUUCUGUGGAACUUAAAAGUUAAAUUAUCAUACAGGACUGAUCUAAACUUAAUUUCACGGCCCCAGGUACCUAAGAUCGGGAGAAACAAUCCAAGAACAACUGAACUGACCAUAGACAUAGAACAUGAGAAAUUGCAGAAAACGAGUAGGGAGAAUGGGAUCCAAUGGAGAUGACUGAAACAUGAAAGCAGAAGACGAUGUGAACAAGAUUCAGGAAACUUAUGCAAAACCCCCCAUUUCUCUGUUUGAUUGUUGAGAAAAAUGCUGGAAAGUAAAUGAAAACCUUAAAUCUCAUAAGAAGUUGGGGAUGGAGUGUGCAGUUUUAAGAUUGAAAAUCUUCUUUUCUUUUACCAUGAGUCUCAGUAACCAAACACGCUAACAACCCCACUAGGUCUGUUCUCUCAAGCUGAAAGGAUGAGCACAAAAAAAAAAAAACAAGAACAACAAGAUCAAACACUUACCUUAUGAUACGUACGUUAGAUAAUGAUGUCAAACCACAACAAGAUCCAACACUUACCUUAUGAUACGUUAGACAAUGAUGUCAAACCAAACCAGAUUUUUUUAAGCUAAAAUUUCAAUCCAAAUUCCAAAUACUGAAAAAAGACUUGAGCAUUUAAGGUAGAAAAACAGAACCCAGAAGAAGAAAAUAGUAGAAAAUUAAUAUUCACAAUGAACCGAGUCAGCCCACAAAAAAAGGAAAAAAAAAAAGAAAAAAAAAGCGUCAUAUGAAGGACCCAAGAAUUUAAAGCAAUUAAUGAAGAAACAAACAGAAAGAUGGAGCUACUUCAGAGAGUGAAAAGUGAAAACCGCCUUGAACCAAUUAUAGAAAGCACAGAACAUGGGGGUAGAGAAAAUAUUAUGCUGAAGAAGUGCUACAAAAAAGACUUGAGCGUUUAAGGUAGAAAAACAGAACCCAGAAGAAGAAAAUAGUAGAAAAUUAAUAAUCACAAUGCACCGAGUCAGCCCACAAAAAAAAAAAAAAAAAAAAAAGCUUCAUAUUGAUUUUGUAGCACUUCUUCAGCAUAAUAUUUUCUCUACCCCCAUGUUCUGUGCUUUCUAUAAUUGGUUCAAGGCGGUUUUCACUUUUCACUCUCUGAAGUAGCUCCAUCUUUCUGUUUGUUUCUUCAUUAAUUGCUUUNNNNNNNNNNNNNNNNNNNNNNNNNNNNNNNNNNNNNNNNNNNNNNNNNNNNNNNNNNNNNNNNNNNNNNNNNNNNNNNNNNNNNNNNNNNNNNNNNNNNUCUCCACCCCCAUGUUCUGUGCUUUCUAUAAUUGGUUCAAGAUGGUUUUCACUUUUCAGUCUCUGAAGUAGCUCCAUCUCUCUCCAUCUUUUCCAUCUUUCUGUUUGAGAAACAAACAGAAAGAUGGAAAAGAUGGAGAGAGAUGGAGCUACUUCAGAGACUGAAAAGUGAAAACCAUCUUGAACCAAUUAUAGAAAGCACAGAACAUGGGGGUGGAGAAAAUAUUAUGCUGAAGAAGUGCUACAAAAUCCAUAUAGGUAAAAACCUGCAUGGGUCAUCCAGAAUCUCACCCUCCCUCAUCAAAUCAGUCUCUUUUUUUUCCUUCUUUUUUAGUGAGCAUAGGUCAUUCAGAAUCUCACUCUGCCUCAUCAAAUCAUGGGUGUUCUUCUCACCCUCUUCUACACCUCACUGCUCUCUUUCCUUGCAUUAUAUUAAUGUGUUGUUCGACUCAAACGACUAAUCGAGUUGUUCUCAUGCUUCACGAUGUCGCUGUUGAGGGAGAAGAUUAUCAAGUGUCUGUAUAUAUAGUUUUUCUGUCCAAUAUAAUAUUUCUAUGGUAUAGAUUCUCUAGCUAUAUGUGUAGAUUCGACUGAUGGCAUCAUUUCAUAAAGCUCAAGUAAUCCUCAGUUUGUGUGCCAAUGAUUUUGUUUUUUUAUUUUAUAUUAAAAUAUGGCAUUGUGACUUCCACUGACGAAGUCUCUUAACUCAACCCUAGGCCUACCACCUAAUAAUUUAAGUUUUUAAAACGAUUUUCCAAAAAAUCAUUUUCAAAAAUAUUUUUAUGAUAGUUUCUAAAAUAAAAUUAAGAAUCUGAAUUAUUUUUUAACCUUUCUUUUAUAUCUUCAAAUAUUUUUUUUAAAUAAUUUUUAUUUCUAAUAAUUUAUUUUUAAUCAUUCUCUGUGUUUAUAUAAAUAUUUCUUAAAACAAUUUCUAAAAAUAAUUAAAAAUAAUUAAAAUAUAUUAUCACAAAAUGUAAAAACAAGUUUUUAAAAGAAUAUUUUUUUGUUAAAAAAAUCACUAAUGUUUUAUUUUUAAGAAUUAAAAAAUAAUUUUUAAACAAGCUUUAAGUUUUCAAUUUGGUAUCAAUCAUGCUUGGUUCUUAAAAAAUACUAAGAAAAAAAAUGUUAAGAAAAAUGAUUUUUUUUUUUUCAUAUUUGAUUUUAUUACAAAAAAAUAAGAAAGAAAAUAAAAUAUAAUUAAAAUUAGUUAAAAAUUAAUUUUUUUUAAAUUUAAUAUUUAUAUAAUGAAUAAAAAUAAAUGAAUUAAAUUUUAAAAAAGUAUAUUAAAAUAGUUUACUAAAUUUAUUUUUAUUUUUUAUUUUUCUUCACUAUUUCUUUCUUUCAACUUUUCCUCUCAAAUUUUUCAGAACCAAACAUACCCUAAAGGUUAGCAUACAUUAUUAAACAAUUAAUGAAUAACUUAAACUUUUGGUUUAAAUAGAGUCCUAGCAUUAUUUAGUAGGGUUUAGAUUAAGAAUAUUGAGUAUUUGUAAACUUGUUAGUUUUAUUGAAAAAAAAAAUGAUUUUCUUGGAAGUUUCAAACAUUUCUUAUUGAAGUAAUUUAAUGGUAGCUGAAUAUAUAGAGGGAAACAUUUUCUAAGAUGAAGUCUCUACAUGUGAUGAUAUAAAUAGAUCAACACUUCAAACACAUGCACACAUGCUCUGCCCUUUAUUAGUAGAAAAUUUUAAGAUACUUAUUGAGUAUCUUAUUGAAACUUUCAAUUUUAAACCUUAUAUAUAUAUAUAUAUAGAUAUAUAUAUAUAAUUAACUCUUAUCUUAUGUUUAAUUCUUAAAAAAAGUGAGAAAGUUUUGAGGAAAAAUGAAAAAAAAAUUAUAAAUUAAUAAAUUAUUUUUAUUUAUUUCUUCGAAUUCAUUUAAUUUAUUUUUUAUAUAUGAAGAAUUAUAUAAUUUAAAAAAUAUCAUGGUCUAUUUAUUUUAGUUAUAUUUAAAUUUUUAAAAUUUCUAUGAUAAAUUAAAUACAAGUAAAUUAUUUUCUCUAAUUUUUUUUUUUCUAUAUUUUUAUGCAACCUAAAUCAUGAUGAAAAAGAAAAAGGAAAAAGAAAGAAAGAGGGGACCUAAAUAUGUUAAAUAAUAACAAUAAUAAUAAUAUUAAUAAUAAUAAAAACACACACACACUGAUUUCCCUCUUGCCACCUGAUUUACUAUUACAUAUUCACCUUAGAAAUUUUUUUGAAAUAACUUUUUUAGUGAUAGAGCUUUUCCUUUGUCUUUUUUACACAUUCAAGUUAGAAAAUUCACUCUUUUUUAAUAGCAAAGGUGACUUCCAAUGAUAUAAUUUUUAAUUUAAAAAAAAACAUUCAUUUUUAAUAAAGAUAUCUUUGUCUUUUGAAAGGUAUUGAUGUGAAAAAUAUGUUAUUUUUUAAAUUAUAAAUUUGGAAUCAUGCCAUUGAUUGCAUCUUUUCAUUAAUGGACCUCAACUUUCCAUAUUGAUAGAUACGUUCAGAAAGAGCCAUGCCUCCUAUGUCUGCCACUCAAGGUCAUGAUGCAAAGCAUCCAAAAUUCCUUGGCAGAUAGUAUUAUUAUUUGGAAGUUGGUGGUCGUCUAGUUGUUUUGAUUAAGAAAUAUUCGGUUGACCCAAUAAAUUUUUGGGUAGUUGUAGGGUGUUUUUGUUAGGCAUAGUUUGGGUAUUUGUGUAAACUGUUUAUGUACAGCCCCUUUUGCUCUUGCUUCUCGUUUUUGGCUCCAAUGGAAAACUUAAGAUAAAGCAAAACUCACAAUUUCUAAAAGGUAAUAUUGGUAUUAUAUAAGCCAUAUCAAACAUAAAAGAAUUUUUUGUACAAGUUAAAAUAGAAGUUUAGAAAAAAAAAAAAGCUAUAUUUUCCUAACUUGAUUUUUAUUUUUAUUUUUUGCAAUAUUUACUACCACAUAUAUAAGGUUUGGUUCGAGAAAAUGACAUCAUUUAUAAUUAAUAUUUGGUUUUGUAAGAUUAAGAAUGAGAUUAGAAAAUAUACUUUUAGAUGCAUGGAUAUUAUAAUCCUAUGAGUAUAUUUAGUGUAUUCAUGGAAGUGAGAUUUUUAUAUUUAAUUUUCAAGGAUUAGGAACACUAUUAAAAUAACUUAUUUAGAUUGAAUAAUUUAUACCUAAUCUCUAAAUGUAGCAAUGGAAUUUACUGAUUUGAUUAUAAUAAAGUGUUGGGAAGAGAGAAAAUUGAUAUUGGGAAAAAUAUUUUUUUUAAUACGAAAGUAAAUUAAAUAUAAUUUAUAUUAAUUAAAAUUUUAUAUAUUUUAAAUUUGUUUAAUCUUUACAAGACCAUCGGCAAAGAACAAUUCUUAAACGGAUGCUCCAAUAAUACACAAUAAUGCAAGUUAAUUAAAAAUCAAAUAAUUUUUUUAAAAGAAAAUGUAAAUUACAAAUUUCAUGAUGUUUCCUUUUGCACAAAAAUGAAAGAUUAAAAAUGGUUUCUAAUUUGUCCUUGUCAUAAAAUAUCUUUUAUGUGUGUUCCUUGAGACAUAUUGAAUUGAUCAAUAUCCAAGUUAUUAUGACGUCUUCUUAUGCAUUUCUUUCGAACUUAUCAAAUUAUUAGAAGGAAUGUAUCUAAUAAAUUUUAAAUUUUUCUUCACUUUUUGUAUCCUUGUUAUUUUCUUAUUAACAUUUGUUUAAUCCUUUCACUUCUUACUUUCUUCAUCAUAAUUAUAGUGAAUUUUGAAUUGAUAUUUUCUUUAUCAAAAUUAUUGUGAAUUGAUAUUUUCUUCAUCAUAAUUAUUAUGAACAAACAUCCAUGAUAAUUAGUCUUUGACAAUUUAUUUGUGACAAUGUAUUUAUAGCAAAAAAUGAACCAUACCUAAAAUUAGGUCAAGUUAUUCUAAUUGUUCAAAUUAACUCUUUAGUAAUAAGAUCAAGUAAAUCUUAUUUGGCUACUCUAGAAGCAAAUAUUCAUGAACAUUAUGGGGAAAUCUUUUAUGAAGGAGAUACAUUAAUUACACUUAUAUAUGAAAAAUCAAGAUUUGAUAAUAUAACGCAUGGCCUUCCAAGAGUGGAACAAGUAUAUAUAUAUAUAUAUAUAUAUAUAUAUAUAUAUAUAUAUAUAUAUAUAUAUAUAUAUAUAUAUAUAUAUAUAUAUAUAUCAUAUGGUUAAGUUUUUGGAGGUCAUUUGUAAGUUUUUAUUAACAUGGUAUUAAAGAAGGUGAAUAAUUUUUUUCUUAAAGUCUCAAAGAAGGAAGCCAUAACAAAUUAUGAUCCCAAAAUCUCUAUCAAUUUCUUCCAUCUCUAUAUUUCUAAUUAAAUGCUUGGUAACUUGGUCACUAUUAGAAUAUCUUUCUAGUUUGUGCUUAACUAAAAAAAAAUGUUUUUAUUGUUAUGCAUUCAUUUUGUCCUAGAAAUUACCUUUAAAAUGUUUUCAUAAAUUUUUUUUUUAUAAUUUUAGUAUUUUUUUAAAAAAAAAUUAAUUAAACAUAAGUCCAACUUUUCAAUUGCAAGUUAAGUGUUGUAGGAGUUUUAUCUAAUAAGAUCUAGUGUGAUAUGUUUUUUUAUCAUAAAGCAAUGGAAGAAGAAAUAAUUACUUUUGUUAUAUAUAUAAUUGAUUUCAUAUUUAAAACCAUAUUUAAAAAAUAUUUUAGCAAAUAUAAAAACAAUUUACAUUUUUUUAAAAUUAAUGAAAUAAAACUUUGAUUUUAACAUCAAAGCAUUUACGUACAUUUUCAAAAUAUUAAUAAAUCCGAAUAAGAAAUCUAAAAAGAAUUAUCUUUGGCAUUUAAAGGUUGAUUUUAAAUUUCAAAUGACUCCCAAAUGAAACUUGAAUGCAAUCAUGAUCAAAGCCUAUAACACCAUUGGAAAUAUUAUUAUUUCAUUAUUUUAUUUACAAAAAUUUGCACUUUAGUACAUAAUAAUAUAACCAUAUAGUUCUAUCAUAUAUUAUAGUUUUAUCAUACGUGAUUUGAGUUUAACCUUUAUUAGUUUUGAUGUAACUUGGGUUUUGGUAUGACUUACCCUCAACAUCAGUUUAUAUGACUUGUCUUAAUGUGACUCGAGUUGUAGCAUAGCUUGAGUUUUAAACAAUUUGAUUUCAAAUUUAAAAAAAAAAACAUAAAAAAAAAGCCCUUUUUAUUUUGAAUAUCUUGAUAAUUCAAAAGACUUUGUAAGAAUUGAAGAUUUGGAGAAUUCGAUUAACUCAUUUUAAUUUUAUAACAUGAAUUCUAAACAAAUCAUAAGUUGAUUUAGUUAAUAAAAUGGUGGCUGUUAGCAUCAAUGCCACCAAACCACUUAUUUUUGUGUAGCCCUCACAAUCAUAGAAAUUGAACGACACUUCAAUAUCUACAGCUCUCCUCUUAUUUAGUUAAAGACUUAGUUGAAAAUUCUUGAGUAGAAAAAUAUAGGAAAAAGAUAAUAAAAAAAUAAAAUAAUAAAUUUUAAAAUAAUAAAUGACUUUUUACUUGUUUCUUCUAACUUAAAUAUAUAUAAAUUAAAUAAUUUAAAAUAUAUAUAAAAUUCUAAUUAUUUUAAUUAUAUUUGAUUUUUAAAAAAAUAAUUCUACGAUGAAUUAAACAUAAGAAAAUGAAAAAUCAUUAUUUUUAAUAUUAUUUUCAAUACUUUUGGGUUAAUUUUUGAGUCAUUAAAUCACAAUUAAAAAAAAAGAGAGAAGAAAAGGGGAGUUUAAGACCAAAAUAAUAUAUUUGUAAAAAAAAAUGAUAAGAAUAGUAUCCAUUUGAAAAUAUUUGUCAAAGUAGUCUUCUUUAUCCACGUAAGCAUCCACAUGGAUUUUAAGUGUAAAGAACCACCGUUGGUGACUGUGGUUUUAGUACUUACAAAAAUUUCCUUAAAACCACAGUUACAAACUGUGGUUUUACAAUUUCUCUUAGAACCACAGUUAUUAACUGCGGUUUUAAAAGAAGUUUCCUUAAAACCACAGUUACAAACUGUGGUUUUACAAUUUCCCUUAAAACCACAGUUAGUAACUGUGGUUUUACAAUUAUUUUCAAUUCACAUCUAUUUUAAUGGUGCUGUAAUUUNNNNNNNNNNNNNNNNNNNNNNNNNNNNNNNNNNNNNNNNNNNNNNNNNNNNNNNNNNNNNNNNNNNNNNNNNNNNNNNNNNNNNNNNNNNNNNNNNNNNUACAAAAAUUUUCCUUAAAACCACAGUUACAAACUGUGGUUUUACAAUUUCUCUUAGAACCACAGUUUUUAACUGCGGUUUUAAAAGAAGUUUCCUUAAAACCACAGUUACAAACUGUGGUUUUACAAUUUCCCUUAAAACCACAGUUAGUAACUGUGGUUUUACAAUUAUUUUCAAUUCACAUCUAUUUUAAUGGUGCUGUAAUUUUAAUAUUAUUUUUAAAAUAUUUUUUUAUCAAAAUACCCAUAAAACCACAGUUAGUAACUGUGGUUUUACAAUUAUUUUCAUUCUGCAUAUAUUUUAAUAGUGUUGUAAUUUUAAUAUUAUUUUUAAAAUAUUUUUUUAUCAAAAUUACAAUUAUGUUGUAAUUUUCACAAAUAUUUUUAAGGGGACUUAUGUAUAAAAAAGUAUGGGAUUUUCGAAUUUUGCUUUUCACAAAUUUUUUUGUUACGACUGUUUUAAAAUAUAUAUAUAUAUAUAUUAUCUUUAUUUUUUCAUAUUUUCCUUGAAAAUUUGAGAAAAUAAUUUGGUCUACAUGCAUUCCCAUAAAAAUUUAUAUAUUUAUAGUAAAUAAAAUAUUUAUUUGUUUUACAAAUAUUUUCACAUAUGAACUAAAGAAAAUUAUUUAUUCAUAUUAUUUUUAAAUUUUUAAAUAACUAAAGAAAUUGUUUAUAUUAUUUUAAAAUUUUAUCUUUUCAUAUGAAAAUUAAUGUCAGUGAUUAUGAUUUUAGGUUAUUUAUUAUUAAGUAUGAUUUGAACUUAUGUCUGGGUUAAAAUGUAUAAUUUUUUAAUUAUAUGAAAGAAAAAUAGGUAGUGGUUGUAAUAAUUUAUUUAAUUAGAAUUUAUUUCAUUUAGACUUUAGGAUGCAUUUGAGUUUUAUUUGUUUAAAUUAUCAAGGAAACAUGUGAAUAACAUAACAUCACUAAUUUGAAUAACUGUGGUUUUAUGGUUGUUUUGAUAAAAAAAAUAUUUUAAAAAUAAUAUUAAAAUUAUAACACCAUUAAAAUGGGAACAAAUUAAAAAUAAUUGUAAAGUUAGGAAAUUGUAAAACCACAGUUUGUAACUGUGGUUUUAAGGAAACUUAUUUUAAAACCGCAGUUAGUAACUGUGGUUCUAAGAGAAAUUGUAAAACCACAGUUUGUAACUGUGGUUUUAAGGAAAUUUUUGUAAGUUCUAAAACCACAGUUACCAACGGUGGUUCUUUACACUUAAAAUCUAUGUGGAUGCUUACGUGGAUAAAGAAGACUACUUUGACAAAUAUUUUCAAAUGGAUACUAUUCUUAUCAUUUUUUUUUAUAAAUAUAUUAUUUUGGUCUUAAACUCAGAAAAGGGGGGACCUAAAAUAUUGUUAACCAAGAAAAAGGUUUUAUCUUCUGCUAGGUAAUGAUUGUUGACUGAAACAGCUUUUCUUUUGAGUUUAAGACCAAAAUAAUAUAUUUGUAAAAAAAAAUCAUAAGAAUAGUAUCCAUUUGAAAAUAUUUGUCAAAGUAGUCUUCUUUAUCCACGUAAGCAUCCACAUAGAUUUUAAGUGUAAAGAACCACCGUUGGUAACUGUGGUUUUAGAACUUACAAAAAUUUCCUUAAAACCACNNNNNNNNNNNNNNNNNNNNNNNNNNNNNNNNNNNNNNNNNNNNNNNNNNNNNNNNNNNNNNNNNNNNNNNNNNNNNNNNNNNNNNNNNNNNNNNNNNNNUUAAUGGUGUUAUAAUUUUAAUAUUAUUUUUAAAAUAUUUUUUUUAUCAAAACAACCAUAAAACCACAGUUAGUAACUGUGGUUUUACUAAUGGUGUUGUAAUUCAAAUUAGUGAUGUUAUGUUAUUCACGUGUUUCCUUGAUAAUUUAAACAAAUAAAACUCAAAUGCAUCCUAAAGUCUAAAUGAAAGAAAUUCUAACUAAAUAAAUUAUUACAACCAUUACCUAUUUUUCUUUCAUAUAAUUAAAAAAUUAUACAUUUUAACCAAGACAUAAGUUCAAAUCAUACUUAAUAAUAAAUAACCUAAAAUCAUAAUCACUGACAUUAAUUUUCAUAUGAAAAGAUAAAAUUUUAAAAUAAUAUAAACAAUUUCUUUAGUUAUUUUAAAAUUUAAAAAUAAUAUGAAUAAAUAAUUUUCUUUAGUUCAUAUGUGAAAAUAUUUGUAAAACAAAUAAAUAUUUUAUUUACUAUAAAUAUAUAAAUUUUUAUGAGAAUGCAUGUAGACCAAAUUAUUUUCUCAAAUUUUCAAGGAAAAUAUGAAAAAAUAAAGAUAAUAUAUAUAUAUAUAUAUAUUUAAAACAGUCGUAACAAAAAAAUUUGUGAAAAGCAAAGUUCUAAAAUCCCAUACUUUUUUAUACAUGAGUCCCCUUAAAAAUAUUUGUGAAAAUUACAACAUAAUUGUAAUUUUGAUAAAAAAAUAUUUUAAAAAUAAUAUUAAAAUUACAACACCAUUAAAAUAUAUGAGGAUUGAAAAUAACUGUAAAAUCAUAGUUACUAACUGUGGUUUUAUGGGUAUUUUGAUAAAAAAAAAUAUUUUAAAAAUAAUAUUAAAAUUACAACACCAUUAAAAUAGAUGUGGAUUGAAAAUAAUUGUAAAACCACAGUUACUAACUGUGGUUUUAUAGUUAUUUUGAUAAAAAUUAUUUUAAAAAUAAUAUUAAAAUUACAACACCAUUAGUAAAACCACAGUUACUAACUGUGGUUUUAUGGUUGUUUUGAUAAAAAAAAUAUUUUAAAAAUAAUAUUAAAAUUAUAACACCAUUAAAAUGGGAACGGAUUAAAAAUAAUUGUAAAACCACAGUUUGUAACUGUGGUUUUAAGGAAACUUCUUUUAAAACCGCAGUUAGUAACUGUGGUUCUAAGAGAAAUUGUAAAACCACAGUUUGUAACUGUGGUUUUAAGGAAAUUUUUGUAAGUACUAAAACCACAGUCACCAACGGUGGUUCUUUACACUUAAAAUCCAUGUGGAUGCUUACGUGGAUAGAGAAGACUACUUUGACAAAUAUUUUCAAAUGGAUACUAUUCUUAUCAUUUUUUUUUACAAAUAUAUUAUUUUGGUCUUAAACUCUUUUCUUUUUUCCUCUUCAUCUCCUGGUCAAAGUGACUUUUAUCUUGAGGCAAAAGUGUCAUCUUUUCAUUUGGCUCCAUCUUUUUCCUCCAUGUGUUAUAUCAAAUUGGGGACCUCAACUUUCCAUAUUCACAGUCUCAGAGGUCAUGAUACUCCAUUCUGCUAACCUUACACUCUCUUAUCCUAACCAUAUGCAUUUUUGUUCUUACAUCAAAACCUUGGUCCCACGUCCAUAUGUAUAACAAAUGAAUAGAUAAAUCUAAUAUUAUUUUCAAAGGAAUAUUGUUCAUCUUAAAUGAGGAGACCCCUUACACAUUUUCUAACUAUCUAUAUUUUAACUAAUCAUGUUUCAAUAUAUAUAUUGUGGACCUGGGAUCAUGUUCCCACUUGAAGGGAAUGGGAAGACUUUUUUUUAUUAAAUAAAAAAUGGAUUUUUAUUUAAAAUAAAAUAAGAAAGAAAAUUCUAAAUGUAACUCAUUGAAAAUACAAAUUUAUGAAAAAUCAAGUUUAGGUCAGGAAUCAAAUUAUUUAUUAGAAAAGUACAAAGAUGAAUCAUAGAACCCAUCUAAAUCAUAAUAAUAGGUCUCUACUAAUCAAAUUGAGAUAAGCACAAUAACUAAUAAGGUAAUCAAUGAAUACUAAACAAUGAUCAAUCAUAACACAGUACUAUAACAAAAAGUAAUCAAACGAAAAAGAGAAAGGAGCGUACAUAAACAACAAGCAAAGUGUUUCAUGAGAAACAAGGUUAGUAUAUAAUGACAAGUAAAAAAAUCUCAUAUAUCGCAAUAACAAGGCAAAGACAAUUUAUAUUCAAUAGGUACAAUACUUGAAUUAUUAUCAAAAGAGGGUAUCAUAUAUGUAGGCUCCACCAAUGCCUAAUUUAGAUUUGCAUAAAUUAAUUCUAUAAAACUCCAUCUUCCUAAUAAUCAUGGAGAAGGAUCAUAGAAAUUUGGAAGAAAUUCCAUUAUUUUUGGAAAUAUGAAAUCUAUUCAUAUUUACUAAAGAAAAAAAAAAGAUCAAGAAAUUCGAGAACUUAUUAUCAAGGAAAAUAAAGUAAAAAUGCAUGAGAGCAGGAACUGAUUAUUUAUUAUUAAAAAAAAACUGGUUUUUUAUUGUCUAGGAAUGAAUUAUAUCAACUAAAAACAGAUUUGAAAACCCAAUUAAAAGCAUAUAAAAUCACACGGAAAUGGGAAAUGCGCACCCGGAAGGAGAAGCACUAAAGGUGGCCAUGCAAGCCAAAAUUACAAGCACGUGGAAGGGAAGGUUAAUUAAAAAGCUGUCUGUUAUUUUGGAAACUGGAUAAGAGGCAAAAGUCAUCUGCUUCAAUCCCAUGUCUAGGAGAUGAUCCUCCUUCCUAACUUUUCAAGCCCUUUGACAAACAGCCCCAUACAAAGAGUAAAAGAUGCAUGAGUUACAUACUAUUUUUUUUUUUUUUUUGAAAAUGCAUGAUCAAAGUCUCGCAGACACAGUACAUUUGUACCUCUACAAAAAUUUGGGAGGAUGAAAUUUUAUGCUGGCGCGAGUGAUCCAUUUCCAAUACCUCAAGUUAGUGCUUUCAGUCCAUGAUCUAGGUUUCUUUCUUUUUUAUUUUAUUAUUUCUUUUCCCUUUUUUAAGGUAAUAAAAAGAGAAUACCUUGGUCUGCUCAACAUGUUUGAGCAAAAUAAAAUUUGGGCAAAUCAGCUGAGUUUAUAUCGACCUGAAGCACAAGAUCUUUGAGAAGCCUUUUAUAGACAUGGUGAUCAUGUCCAGAGACGAUGUUUUGAAAUCAAAUUCAUUAUUGCACACUGAAACUAUCCAGUAGGUAGAACGACUCAAAACUGCAAAAGCAAACCAUUAGCUUUUAAAACCUGUUUCAAGUUUCAGAGCCAAUCUCCCGAGGUGUUACUGCCAUUUGAAGAGUGAGACCAGUACUCCUUGACAAGCUGCCCAAACAGCGAUCCCUCCUUCUUUAUCAGCUUCAUCGGCUCAUCGUACUCUACCAAUUUUCCUACAGAAGCAAAAGCACUAGUUAUUUGAAUUUGUUUCACUAGAUUGAUCCCAACUAGGAUGAAAUAUUCCUUCAUAGAAACUCACCAUCACUGAUAGCAAGCACCAUUGUGCAGUCCAUCACAGUUGGGAUUCUGUGGGCUACUGUUAUUACAGUGCAGUCUGCAAAUUCUGUUCUUAUGGUCUUCUGGAGAAUGGAGUCUGUUGCAUUGUCUAUAGAUGCAGUGGCUUCAUCAAGCACUAGUAUCCGACUUCUCUUCAGUAGAGCACGUCCCAAACAGAAUAAUUGUCUCUGGCCCAUGCUCCAAUUUGAUCCGUCUAGUACAACUGAAGGGCAGACAGAUCGAUUGUUAGCAAGAGUUUUUGAGUCCGAAGAAUGGUACCUGUGUGUAUGAUGCUUCAUACCUAAGGAGUCCAGGCCCUCUUUUUUCUCUUGAACAGCCCCUCGAAGUUGACAUUUUUCCAGAACCUGUCACACAUUCAUGAGAAACAAUCUUAGUCUAGGAUAUAAAGUAAAUUAAACUUAUUAGGAAGCUGUUCUUUUUCAAGGGACUACGACAACAAAUAUUUGGUAUGGAAAGAAAAUUAGGAGGUAUUUAACAGCACUCAAACAUCUUUGUGUUCCAAAACACAGAAUAUCAGGAGUUCGAUUAAUGACAUCAAAAUCUGACAGCAUUUAAUUAGUUUGAUAGAGUAGAAACUGCCAUGUCUAUGCACUUAAGAGUGAAGCCUGCUUCAUAACACUAGCAGAAUCUUUUAGAAAUUUGUAUCAUAUCAUGAUCGAAUCCUACAAUUAGCAACCACAACAAAUUAAUAGGAAACUCACCUCCCAUAUUUCUUCAUCAGUAUGCAGUGAUAAAGGGUCAAGAUUGCAUCUUAUAGACCCGCUAAAAAGAGUUGGUUCUUGUGGAAUGAUCCCAAGACGUGAUCUGAGAUCAUGUAGCCCAAUUGUGGAAAUAUUUAUGCCAUCUAUAAUUAUCUGUCCCUCUGUAGGCUCUACCAAACGAAACAAAGCGCUGAUAAGAGUUGUCUUUCCACUACCAGUCCGGCCAACGAUCCCAAUUUUCUGUCCUCCUCCAAAUUUGCAACUAAUUCCUUGAAGAACUAGAGGAGCAUUGAGCCUAUACCUGACCUGCUCAAUGUCAUUUCAUCUACUAUAUUAAUCUCUAUAAAUCUUGAAGUUGUAGAACAGACAAAGAUACUCAAAUUCUUACUGAUUUCACCUUUACCUUCAAAUCAUAAAUUUCCACUUCACCAAUAGCAGGCCAACUGACUGGUGGUCGAUUACUCUCUAUGACUUCUGGGGCUUCGCUAGGAAUAUUCGUGUACUGUUCUAAUCUUUCAACAGAAACAAUCAUAUUUGCUAAAUGGCACUGGUUUUGGACGGAAAACACAAGGAAUACAUUCAUUGAAAGACCAUACGAUAAUGCCAUUCCAAUAAAUCCUGCCAUCAGAACAUUGACAACGAAAAUGCUCGUUAGACAAUAAUUCCAUAAAUGGUUGUCAAUUACUAAGAUUACUUUAAAUAUCACAUUGACCAAGUUAGUUUUGAAUAUCAAAUACUGUGUAUGUAGGAAUUUAGUAGAAGGGUUUUUCUUUUGGAUUAUGCACUGAUCUGUUUGUAUGAUUAUUGUGUAAGAAUCAUGGACUUGUUAGCUCACUUUGUUCUUGUUAUAACCCAAGUUUCUAGUUAUGAUGUUGAGAAAGUUGGAGCUAAAUUCCGUUGAUUAUAGUGAUUUUUUAUUACUACCAACUGAGCAGCUAUUGUUUCAUGAUCUACAAAGCCCUAUCUUGUAUUCAUUUCACUCUACUCAAGGUCAAGUAGGAAACUAAGAUAGGUAACUUUCCUAUUUAAUGUUGGAUAUUGUUAUUGGAUUUUAGGUCAUCACUGAAUUGCCUCUAAAUGUUUCAUCCUAUUGAAGUUCCUUCUUUUCAUUGAGAAAUAUGAAAAAUUAUCGGAGACCCUGGGUUGUUCAUCUAUUUCUUUUUCAGUUAAAAACAAAUGCUAGCUAGCAAGCAGUCAUAGCAGGCAACAGAAAAGCCUUUUUUUUUUUUUAUCUUGAAUGUUCUGAUGCUUUCGAAGAAUUUACUAUUUGCGCCCUUAAUCAGACACUUCAUCUUUAUCAGUUUCCAGUUGUCUAUCUUACCUACUGAAAAAUCCUAAUGGUAUCCUCUUGUAAGGAUCAAAAUUCACAUGGCCAAUUACUAGUCUCAAAGUUGCACAGGCCCCCUUAGGUUAAACAUGUUAUAAACUUCUAGGGAGUUAAACUGUUGAAAUUGAAGCAA
This 37176-nucleotide long non-coding RNA is filed under the name Vitis vinifera (wine grape). RNAcentral describes it as "long non-coding RNA (VVIN_LNC000333)". The record is from RNAcentral. Lineage: Eukaryota; Viridiplantae; Streptophyta; Magnoliopsida; Vitales; Vitaceae.